RNAcentral lists this long non-coding RNA (255 nucleotides) under Coturnix japonica (Japanese quail). RNAcentral's name for it is "lncRNA (ENSCJPG00005021008.1)". The record is from RNAcentral. Lineage: Eukaryota; Metazoa; Chordata; Aves; Galliformes; Phasianidae.
ACUGCUAUCUUCACAGGGGGGAGAUAAAUCACAACAUAGACCAUUUUUCUCCAUUAAGUAGGAAGGAGCCUUCUGCGCUGCUGGUACAUGAACUGAGGUACUUCUCACCUCCUUACAGAAAAGGCAGAUGAUGCUGGAGUGAGAGUUUUGCUGGCUGUGGGCAGAUUGCGAAUCCUGACUUCUGAGAAAGGAUGUCAUGGAAUACAGCUCAUGAACAAGAGCAAGGCAUAUACAUUGGAAAACCACAGAAACCUG